CCCGCCCGAGGGAAUGCGGCAAAGCGGCGAGUGAGCGGCAAGAGCUCAAAUUUGAAAGCUGGCUCCUUCGGGGUCCGCAUUGUAAUUUGCAGAGGAUGCUUCGGGUGCGGCCCCUGUCUAAGUGCCCUGGAACGGGCCGUCAGAGAGGGUGAGAAUCCCGUCUGGGAUGGGGUGUCCGCGCCCGUGUGAAGCUCCUUCGACGAGUCGAGUUGUUUGGGAAUA
RNAcentral lists this ribosomal RNA (222 nucleotides) under uncultured Eurotiomycetes. Its description in RNAcentral is "partial 28S ribosomal RNA". It matches the Rfam family "Eukaryotic large subunit ribosomal RNA", at positions 65 to 282 of the family's 3401-position model. Lineage: Eukaryota; Fungi; Ascomycota; Eurotiomycetes. The record is from RNAcentral.